This 76-nucleotide transfer RNA is filed under the name Acidimicrobiia bacterium. RNAcentral's name for it is "tRNA-Glu". It matches the Rfam family "tRNA". From Rfam's summary of the family: Transfer RNA (tRNA) molecules are approximately 80 nucleotides in length. Their secondary structure includes four short double-helical elements and three loops (D, anti-codon, and T loops). Further hydrogen bonds mediate the characteristic L-shaped molecular structure. tRNAs have two regions of fundamental functional importance: the anti-codon, which is responsible for specific mRNA codon recognition, and the 3' end, to which the tRNAs corresponding amino acid is attached (by aminoacyl-tRNA synthetases). tRNAs cope with the degeneracy of the genetic code in two manners: having more than one tRNA (with a specific anti-codon) for a particular amino acid; and 'wobble' base-pairing, i.e. permitting non-standard base-pairing at the 3rd anti-codon position. Lineage: Bacteria; Bacillati; Actinomycetota; Acidimicrobiia. The record is from RNAcentral. RNAcentral also lists the same sequence under 2 other names.
GCCCCGUUCGUCUAGCGGCCUAGGACGCUGGCUUCUCAUGCCAGUAGCACGGGUUCAAAUCCCGUACGGGGUGCCA